This 253-nucleotide ribosomal RNA is filed under the name uncultured bacterium. Its description in RNAcentral is "partial 16S ribosomal RNA". It matches the Rfam family "Bacterial small subunit ribosomal RNA", at positions 524 to 776 of the family's 1533-position model. The record is from RNAcentral.
UACGAAGGGGGCUAGCGUUGCUCGGAAUUACUGGGCGUAAAGCGUGCGUAGACGGUCACGUAAGUCGGGUGUGAAAGCCCCGGGCUCAACCUGGGAAUUGCAUUCGAGACUGCAUGGCUAGGGUGCGGAAGAGGGAAGCGGAAUUUCCGGUGUAGCGGUGAAAUGCGUAGAUAUCGGAAGGAACACCAGUGGCGAAAGCGGCUUCCUGGUCCAGCACCGACGUUCAGGCACGAAAGCGUGGGGAGCAAACAGG